UUUCCGUAGGUGAACCUGCGGAAGGAUCAUUAUUGAAUAAUCGAGGUGCGAGCGCUGGCGCUCACCCGAGAGGUCGUGCACGCCCUAUUGCCCCCGCACACAUCCAUGUCACCACCAUGUUCAUCACCACGUUGGUCGCCCUUUGGCGUUUUCGGAGGGUGCCUUACGUUUUUACACAAACUAUUGAUUAAGGGUAUAAUGUAUUUUUUGUGUUUGCUAUCACGCAAUCAAUACAACUUUUAACAACGGAGCUCUAUGCUCUCGCAUCGCUGAAGACAA
Molecule: unclassified non-coding RNA, 279 nt
Filed under: plant metagenome
Description: partial contains small subunit ribosomal RNA, internal transcribed spacer 1, and 5.8S ribosomal RNA
Source: RNAcentral